RNAcentral lists this ribosomal RNA (722 nucleotides) under uncultured bacterium. RNAcentral describes it as "bacterial SSU rRNA". It matches the Rfam family "Bacterial small subunit ribosomal RNA", at positions 56 to 774 of the family's 1533-position model. The record is from RNAcentral.
UGCAGUCGAGCGGUAGAGAGAAGCUUGCUUCUCUUGAGAGCGGCGGACGGGUGAGUAAUGCCUAGGAAUCUGCCUGGUAGUGGGGGAUAACGUCCGGAAACGGACGCUAAUACCGCAUACGUCCUACGGGAGAAAGCAGGGGACCUUCGGGCCUUGCGCUAUCAGAUGAGCCUAGGUCGGAUUAGCUAGUUGGUGGGGUAAUGGCUCACCAAGGCGACGAUCCGUAACUGGUCUGAGAGGAUGAUCAGUCACACUGGAACUGAGACACGGUCCAGACUCCUACGGGAGGCAGCAGUGGGGAAUAUUGGACAAUGGGCGAAAGCCUGAUCCAGCCAUGCCGCGUGUGUGAAGAAGGUCUUCGGAUUGUAAAGCACUUUAAGUUGGGAGGAAGGGCAGUAAAUUAAUACUUUGCUGUUUUGACGUUACCGACAGAAUAAGCACCGGCUAACUCUGUGCCAGCAGCCGCGGUAAUACAGAGGGUGCAAGCGUUAAUCGGAAUUACUGGGCGUAAAGCGCGCGUAGGUGGUUCGUUAAGUUGGAUGUGAAAUCCCCGGGCUCAACCUGGGAACUGCAUUCAAAACUGACGAGCUAGAGUAUGGUAGAGGGUGGUGGAAUUUCCUGUGUAGCGGUGAAAUGCGUAGAUAUAGGAAGGAACACCAGUGGCGAAGGCGACCACCUGGACUGAUACUGACACUGAGGUGCGAAAGCGUGGGGAGCAAACA